AUUGAACGCUGGCGGCAGGCCUAACACAUGCAAGUCGAGCGGAUGAAGGGAGCUUGCUCCUGUAUUCAGCGGCGGACGGGUGAGUAAUGCCUAGGAAUCUGCCUGGUAGUGGGGGAUAACGUCCGGAAACGGGCGCUAAUACCGCAUACGUCCUGAGGGAGAAAGUGGGGGUUCUUCGGACCUCACGCUAUCAGAUGAGCCUAGGUCGGAUUAGCUAGUUGGUGGGGUAAAGGCCUACCAAGGCGACGAUCCGUAACUGGUCUGAGAGGAUGAUCAGUCACACUGGAACUGAGACACGGUCCAGACUCCUACGGGAGGCAGCAGUGGGGAAUAUUGGACAAUGGGCGAAAGCCUGAUCCAGCCAUGCCGCGUGUGUGAAGAAGGUCUUCGGAUUGUAAAGCACUUUAAGUUGGGAGGAAGGGCAGUAAGUUAAUACCUUGCUGUUUUGACGUUACCAACAGAAUAAGCACCGGCUAACUUCGUG
RNAcentral lists this ribosomal RNA (484 nucleotides) under uncultured bacterium. RNAcentral describes it as "partial 16S ribosomal RNA". It matches the Rfam family "Bacterial small subunit ribosomal RNA", at positions 30 to 507 of the family's 1533-position model. The record is from RNAcentral.